This is a long non-coding RNA of Monodelphis domestica (gray short-tailed opossum), 472 nucleotides long. RefSeq lists it as uncharacterized. The record is from RefSeq and is a predicted model, not a curated record. NCBI's taxonomy places the organism in Eukaryota, Metazoa, Chordata, Mammalia, Didelphimorphia, Didelphidae.
GGUUCGGGGCGAGGUCAAAGGGCCAGGAAAAAUCCCUAAGUGGUUUACUGUAUAAAUCCAUCCUUUUAUGGAAAUCCCAAGGAAAUCCCAGAACCUUCAGGAAAAAUCGGGGGUUUUAUUUCGGAAAAUCCUCCAUUCUUUCUUUGUGUUCCCAGGGAUUGUGUUCUGCUGGCUGCCCGUGCCCGGACCUGGCUCUCACUACGUGUCCAGGGACCCCCAAAGCCUAGACUCAGCCCCCAGCAGGACUCAGAAGAGGUCGAGCUUAAUAAGAGCUGGGGACAAGAAAGACUAAGCUGUGAAACUGACACUGGACAAAAAAUGGACAAAGCCUCCAUCAUUUGAUCUUGAGAGUCAAUUGAGAUAAGUACAGGUAAAAUGUGAAUAAUCAAAGAAGAGGAGGGUAUGAUGAAGAGCAAUGAAUGGACCCAGGUUCAACUACUGACUCAUUAAAUGGGCAGACUUCUGAUCACUA